CAAUAGCGUAUAUUAAAGUUGUUGCGGUAAAAAAGCUCGUAGUUGGAUUUCUGUUGAGAGCGACCGGUCCAUACCACGUAUGCGUAUCUGGCUUGCUCUCGGCAUCCUCUCGAUAGACGUUACUGCGCUUGAUUGCGUGGUGCGGAUCUCGGGACUUUUACUUUGAGGAAAUUAGAGUGUUCACGGCAGGCUUUCGCCAGAAUACAUUAGCAUGGAAUAAUACUAUAGGAUCUUGGUUCUAUUUUGUUGGUUUCUAGAAUUGAGAUAAUGAUUAAUAGGGACAAUUGGGGGCAUUCGUAUCAACACGUCAGAGGUGGAAUUCUUGGAUUGUGUUGCGACGAACUACUGCGAAAGCAUUUGCCAAGGAUGUUUUCAUUGA
RNAcentral lists this ribosomal RNA (379 nucleotides) under uncultured eukaryote. RNAcentral describes it as "partial 18S ribosomal RNA". It matches the Rfam family "Eukaryotic small subunit ribosomal RNA", at positions 592 to 976 of the family's 1831-position model. The record is from RNAcentral.